RNAcentral lists this ribosomal RNA (350 nucleotides) under Escherichia coli. Its description in RNAcentral is "bacterial LSU rRNA". It matches the Rfam family "Bacterial large subunit ribosomal RNA", at positions 1298 to 1648 of the family's 2925-position model. The record is from RNAcentral. Lineage: Bacteria; Pseudomonadati; Pseudomonadota; Gammaproteobacteria; Enterobacterales; Enterobacteriaceae.
CGGUAUGAGUAGCGCAAGACAGGUGAGAAUCCUGUCCACCGUAAGACUAAGGUUUCCAGGGGAAGGCUCGUCCGCCCUGGGUUAGUCGGGACCUAAGGAGAGACCGAAAGGUGUAUCCGAUGGCCAACAGGUUGAUAUUCCUGUACUAGAGUAUAUAGUGAUGGAGGGACGCAGUAGGCUAACUAAACCGGACGAUUGGAAGAGUCCGGCUAAGCAGUGAGGUGUAAGAUGAGUCAAAUGCUUAUCUUUAUAACAUUGAGCUGUGAUGGGGAGCGAAUUUUAGUAGCGAAGUUAGUGAUGUCACACUGCCAAGAAAAGCUUCUAGCGUUUAAUGAUACUCUACCCGUACC